GGGCAGACACACUGAAGUCGCUAGACAUUUGAGGAACACAUCCGGGGAAGAAGACACAGGUGGCUGGUCAUGGAGAGCCCGCUGGGGGAAGAGCACACAGACAGGCACCGGCAGGCCAUUGACCAGCGGGACAAGGUGGGCUCAAUGUCAUCACAAGGGUGCUUAAGAGGGAAAGAGGAAGCCAUGAGGGUCAGAGUCAAAGGAAGACUUGAAGAUACUACACUGCGGACUUUAAAGAUGAAGGAAGGGGCGAAAACCAAGAAUGUGGGAAGCCUCUAGAAGCUAGAGAAGGCAAGGAAACAAAUUUUCCACUAGAGCCUCCAGAAGGAACACAGCCCUGCUGACCCACUGUAAUGUCUGACCUCUAGAUGUGUAAGGGUAGUAAGACUGAAAGUCUCAGAAAGGCACUGUUAAAUUCUUAUUCCUCAACUAUGCAACUCAAAACUGGGGUCCUCAGCAGUGAGCGAGGGGUGAGAGAAGACACUGUAUAAACAUGGCACAUCCUCCUGGAAAGUCAACUUUACUCAAAGGUUCUUACACACAGUGACAGCUAGCAGAGUCUAAAAUGCUGACAUUAUGACUUAGAGAUGUGAUAAAGAGAAACAUCUAUUGCAUUUUCUGUGACAGUCUCAUGUUGGCCAUGGGGUACUCUCUGCGUCAUGCUAGAAAGAGUUUAUGGUCCCACCUGCAUCCAUGAGAAAGAGAAAACAAAGCUUCAAUUUUAAGUCCUUGGAAAUUCCAUGCCAUUAAGAAACUGCUACUGCCAGCUUUCUGGCGUUAUUCAAAGGGGUAAAAAGUUCAUUACACUAGUGUUCUUAUAAGUGUUGGUUUUAUUUCAUAUUAUUUGAAGAGCUAUUCUGCUUAGUAACAAUAAAUUGCUUGGAAGAUGUCAGACCUGUGUUUGGGUUAGGGGUUGCUUUUAGCUGCAAGUAAGAACACUCACAAAAGAGGGGCUUAAAUGCAACAAAAGGGGAAGGGCUAAGGGCAAAAGGCACAUGACUUCAGCAUCUGUCCCUUAUAGCGAUAACCAUAUUUUCUCUAGAUGCUCAUUGGACAGAACUAUUUCUCAUGGUCAAUCACAACCAAAAGACAGCUGGGGAAAUUCAGGAUUUUAACAGGGCACACUUCCUAUGCUGAACAAAAUCUGAGUUCUUAAUUUUAAAAAAGAAGAGAAUGAUAUUAGAGAGAUACAUGUUCCAUAAUAGUUAUUUAACUGUUCGUUUUUAAUAAACAUCACUUCAUAUCAAA
This 1248-nucleotide long non-coding RNA is filed under the name Homo sapiens (human). RNAcentral describes it as "survival associated mitochondrial melanoma specific oncogenic non-coding RNA". Lineage: Eukaryota; Metazoa; Chordata; Mammalia; Primates; Hominidae. The record is from RNAcentral.